AUAUUACUAAGCGCAGGAAAAGAAAACAACAGUGAUUUCCCUAGUAACGGCGAGUGAACAGGAAACAGCCCAAGAUUGAAUCCGUGGUGGAAGGAACCUGAAGCCAUGGAAUUGUAGUCCAGGGGAGUGAGGCAAGGGUUGAGGGUGUGGUUGAAUUGUCUGAAAAGGCAAAUCCACAGAGGGUUAUCGUCCCAUACGUGCCACACGACCUCGAUCUUUAACGCUUCUCUCUUCCAAGAGUCGUACAGUUUGGGAAUGCUGUGCAAAAUCGCUGGUGUGCUUCAGCGAAGGCUAAAUAUUGCUUCGAGACCGAUAGCGAACAAGUAGUGUGAACGAAAGAUGAAAAGAACUUUGAAAAGAGAGUGAAAAGUACUUGAAAUCGUCCAGUGCCAAGGGUAUAGGAAACUUGUUUUCCAGUCUUUUGGAUUGGUUUUGAUCGGACAGGUUGGCCUCUUCCGGUGGUCCGCCGAGCAUUCCAUUUCGAUGGCGUGUCAGCGAGGCCGAUACGGUAAGUGGGUCGACUGGUCGAUGCCUGCUUCGCUCGGAUGCCGCAGUGUAUGGUAGGUGUGCGGGAGCAUCUGCUUCUUCGG
RNAcentral lists this ribosomal RNA (590 nucleotides) under uncultured fungus. Its description in RNAcentral is "eukaryotic LSU rRNA". It matches the Rfam family "Eukaryotic large subunit ribosomal RNA", at positions 40 to 557 of the family's 3401-position model. Lineage: Eukaryota; Fungi. The record is from RNAcentral.